RNAcentral lists this non-coding RNA (659 nucleotides) under Clostridium tepidum. RNAcentral's name for it is "bacterial LSU rRNA". It matches the Rfam family "Bacterial large subunit ribosomal RNA", at positions 556 to 1213 of the family's 2925-position model. The record is from RNAcentral. Lineage: Bacteria; Bacillati; Bacillota; Clostridia; Eubacteriales; Clostridiaceae.
CCGUGUGCCUACAACCGAUCGGAGCACGUUAAAGUGUGACGAUGUGCUUUUUGUAGAACGAGCCAGCGAGUUACGCUAUGUAGCAAGGUUAAGUACUUAAGGUAUGGAGCCGAAGGGAAACCGAGUCUGAAAAAGGCGAAAAGUUGCAUGGUGUAGACCCGAAACCGGGUGACCUAUCCAUGGCCAGGUUGAAGCGAGAGUAAAAUCUCGUGGAGGACCGAACCACGUUGGUGUUGAAAAACCAUGGGAUGAGCUGUGGAUAGCGGAGAAAUUCCAAUCGAACUCGGAGAUAGCUGGUUCUCCCCGAAAUAGCUUUAGGGCUAGCGUCGUGUAAUUGAGUAAUGGAGGUAGAGCACUGAAUGGGCUAGGGGCUAUAGUAGUUACCGAACCCUAGCAAACUCCGAAUGCCAUAUACUUGUAUCACGGCAGUCAGACUGCGAAUGAUAAGAUCCGUAGUCAAAAGGGAAACAGCCCAGACCAUCAGCUAAGGUCCCAAAGUGUAAGUUAAGUGGAAAAGGAUGUGGGAUUUCUAAGACAACUAGGAUGUUGGCUUAGAAGCAGCCACUCAUUUAAAGAGUGCGUAAUAGCUCACUAGUCAAGAGAUCCUGCGCCGAAGAUGUCCGGGGCUCAAACUUACCACCGAAGCUAUGGGUGUACAC